Molecule: ribosomal RNA, 468 nt
Filed under: uncultured bacterium
Lineage: Bacteria
Description: partial 16S ribosomal RNA
Rfam family: Bacterial small subunit ribosomal RNA
Source: RNAcentral
GACGAACGCUGGCGGCGUGCUUAACACAUGCCAGUCGAACGAAAAGGCCCUGCUUUUGUGGGGUGCUCGAGUGGCGAACGGGUGAGUAACACGUGAGUAACCUGCCCUUGACUUUGGGAUAACUUCAGGAAACUGGGGCUAAUACCGGAUAGGAGCUCCUGCUGCAUGGUGGGGGUUGGAAAGUUUCGGCGGUUGGGGAUGGACUCGCGGCUUAUCAGCUUGUUGGUGGGGUAGUGGCUUACCAAGGCUUUGACGGGUAGCCGGCCUGAGAGGGUGACCGGCCACAUUGGGACUGAGAUACGGCCCAGACUCCUACGGGAGGCAGCAGUGGGGAAUAUUGCACAAUGGGCGGAAGCCUGGUGCAGCAACGCCGCGUGCGGGAUGACGGCCUUCGGGUUGUAAACCGCUUUCGCCUGUGACGAAGCGUGAGUGACGGUAAUGGGUAAAGAAGCACCGGCUAACUACGUG